UGAGGAAUAUUGGACAAUGGGCGCAAGCCUGAUCCAGCCAUGCCGCGUGAGUGAUGAAGGCCUUCGGGUUGUAAAACUCUUUGAGUAGGGAAGAUAAUGACGGUACCUACAGAACAAGCCACGGCAAACUUCGUGCCAGCAGCCGCGGUAAUACGAAGGUGGCAAGCGUUACUCGGAAUUACUGGGCGUAAAGCGCAUGUAGGCGGAUAAGUAAGUCAGAGGUGAAAUCCCGGGGCUCAACCCCGGAAUUGCCUUUGAAACUACUUAUCUAGAGUGUAUCAGGGGAUGGUGGAAUUUCCAGUGUAGAGGUGAAAUUCGUAGAUAUUGGAAGGAACAUCGGUGGCGAAGGCGACCAUCUGGGAUACAACUGACGCUGAGAUGCGAAAGCGUGGGGAGCAAA
Molecule: ribosomal RNA, 400 nt
Filed under: uncultured bacterium
Lineage: Bacteria
Description: bacterial SSU rRNA
Rfam family: Bacterial small subunit ribosomal RNA
Source: RNAcentral